UAAUACGUAGGGUCCGAGCGUUAAUCGGAAUUACUGGGCGUAAAGCGUGCGCAGGCGGUUUUGUAAGCCAGAUGUGAAAUCCCCGGGCUUAACCUGGGAACUGCAUUUGGGACUGCAAGGCUUGAGUACGGCAGAGGGGGGUAGAAUUCCUGGUGUAGCAGUGAAAUGCGUAGAUAUCAGGAGGAAUACCGAUGGCGAAGGCAGCCCCCUGGGUCGAUACUGACGCUCAUGCACGAAAGCGUGGGGAGCAAACAGG
Molecule: ribosomal RNA, 256 nt
Filed under: uncultured bacterium
Lineage: Bacteria
Description: partial 16S ribosomal RNA
Rfam family: Bacterial small subunit ribosomal RNA
Source: RNAcentral